This 513-nucleotide ribosomal RNA is filed under the name bacterium enrichment culture clone ALO1_GLFRUDD03FNKM3. RNAcentral describes it as "bacterial SSU rRNA". It matches the Rfam family "Bacterial small subunit ribosomal RNA", at positions 9 to 517 of the family's 1533-position model. The record is from RNAcentral.
GAGUUUGAUCUUGGCUCAGAUUGAACGCUGGCGGCAGGCCUAACACAUGCAAGUCGAGCGGAUGACGGGAGCUUGCUCCUUGAUUCAGCGGCGGACGGGUGAGUAAUGCCUAGGAAUCUGCCUGGUAGUGGGGGACAACGUUUCGAAAGGAACGCUAAUACCGCAUACGUCCUACGGGAGAAAGCAGGGGACCUUCGGGCCUUGCGCUAUCAGAUGAGCCUAGGUCGGAUUAGCUAGUUGGUGGGGUAAUGGCUCACCAAGGCGACGAUCCGUAACUGGUCUGAGAGGAUGAUCAGUCACACUGGAACUGAGACACGGUCCAGACUCCUACGGGAGGCAGCAGUGGGGAAUAUUGGACAAUGGGCGAAAGCCUGAUCCAGCCAUGCCGCGUGUGUGAAGAAGGUCUUCGGAUUGUAAAGCACUUUAAGUUGGGAGGAAGGGCAGUAAGUUAAUACCUUGCUGUUUUGACGUUACCGACAGAAUAAGCACCGGCUAACUCUGUGGCAGCAGCCG